AGAGAGUUCAAGAGUACGUGAAACUGUUCGGAGGAAAAUGGGUGAUCGUUCGAUGUCCCGACGGAGCGGCAAUCAAGGCGCCGACGUCUCGUUCGCGAGUCCCCGCGAAGGAGGAAAGCGUUCGGGCCCGAGGCGCCGCAGUUGCCGCUCCCGGCGGACGCCGCGCCCGGAUCGGCGACGGCAGAGAGGAUCGCGUCGGGAGCACGCGACGGCCUCGCUGUGUGUGGGGCCGGCGCGACCCGACCGAACUCCCGGUGCGACGCCGGUCCGGUUCAGAGUCCGGAAUACGGACGGGCCCAGGUCCACAGAAACGCGCGACGCACGGGGUCCGGCGCGCGUACGAKCCGGCCGCGACAAAGAUCUAUCGCGGCCGGGGAAGACGCGACGGACCGCGGAGACGGGACGCGGACCGACGACGGCCCCAGCGGCGAGUUGCUCACCCAACCCGUCUUGAAACACGGACCAAGGAGUCCGACUCGUGCGCGAGUCACUGGAUCUCGAACAAGUCCAAGGGCGAAAUCAAGGUGACCCCAGUCGCGAUCCGCAGGCUCCGGCCUCGGCGCAGCGACGGCCCGACCGCAGUCGGUCGGAGCUCUAGCGCACGGGUCGGCACCCGAAAGAUGGUGAGCUAUACCCGGGCGGGCUGAAGCCGGGGGAAACUCUGGUGGAGGGCCGCCGCGAUCCUGACGUGCAAAUCGGCCGUCCGAAUUAGG
Molecule: ribosomal RNA, 713 nt
Filed under: Panjange cavicola
Lineage: Eukaryota; Metazoa; Arthropoda; Arachnida; Araneae; Pholcidae
Description: partial 28S ribosomal RNA
Source: RNAcentral